Molecule: long non-coding RNA, 380 nt
Organism: Syngnathus typhle (broad-nosed pipefish)
Lineage: Eukaryota; Metazoa; Chordata; Actinopteri; Syngnathiformes; Syngnathidae
Exons: 3
Source: RefSeq, a predicted model, not a curated record
ACGCAGGUGACAAGCUGUAUAUUUAUUCUGUUUUAUUUCCGUGACUUCUUUUCCUUUUGCCUAAUUUACGAUUCAUAUAAAAUUCCGUGUAUCAUGUAGGAGGCUUCUACAGCACACAAAGCCACUAAUAUGUUUUUAGUUACGUAUGGCGAGUGGGCCAGCUUCUGUCGAAUUAUUGUCACCUGCUUGACAAACAAAAUGUCUAUUCUCAAAAACGUAAACAUGAAAAUGAUACCUCCAACCUGGAAGACAAUACCUCACCCAGUACUUAUGUUUUGCAAUUCGGCCAAAAGACUCAACAUCUGGACAGCCAUUUUGUAAUGGACAGAGUGCUCGCCUUCGAUGAUGUCAUCACUUUGCCGUCCUCUAAUUGAAUGGUA